CUGAUGCGACGUGCUCGUGUCUUCGCAGCGUCCUCUGUACAUGUUGGACUUUUUUUUUCAUAUGCAAAAGAAUAUUGUUUGUGUAAUACAGUCAUAAUAUUUACGCAGGCACGCGGGAGGAGUGAGGUGGAGGCUCAGCCGAGCUGUGCGCACACAAACUCGGACUGGGACUUCAGAUCGACUCCUGCAGACGUUUAACCACUGAAUGAUUCAGGAUUUAAGCGUCUCCUGGAAGACUCAGUCUUCCACAGUGAGUGGGAGGCGGUUGGGUGCCCCACCCUGCUGUCCUCCACACCUCCCAGGACCGGUCCCUCAUGGUCUGCCUAACGCAGGGAGAGACAUCAAUAAUGAGAGCUGAAGCAGAAACCACAGCGGAGAACACAGAGGAGACCGGCCACAACUGGCUCUGCUGCAGGCUGGAGUGGGCAGGCCUGUGGUUUUGGCCACAGGAAGCUGUGAAUUCUUCGGAGAAUGGGAGAUGUCUCAUGGGGAGACAUGGUUUGCCCCCCACCCACCCACACACCCCCCCAAAAUGACCCCUGACCCUUUCAUGUGUUUAUAUCAGACCAUGGAAGUGAGAAAUAGUGAUGAGUCACUCUGGCUGCGUGUUUACACUCCGGAGUCACGCAAGGAAGGAAAUCAGCCACGGUCUGCUAAAAGUGGCGAGGUAAGGGAGAGAAUAGCCGCUGUGAUUUACCUCACAGAGCCAGCAUUUAUUUUGCGUCAUCUCUGCUGAGAAAACUCUCGUUCAACAGAAAACACUGGUAUUAGCGGCGCAGAGGAGUGCAGUCGAGGGAAAAUACUGCAUGGAGGGCCAAAGCACGUAGUCGCCGCUGAAGAAAGUGGACGUCUAUAUGCCUACCAACACUACCACACUGAUUAUCCUUGGAGCCGACCCAGCAGGAUGAUUCAUGAUUAAUCAGAAUGUUUAAACAUAAUUAUUAUUUCUUUCAGAUUUAUACCGUCAUGGUUAUUACCGAUGCUAUUCCAAACCGGGCUCCCAACGCUAGCAUCACCGGUGUCUCCAGUUUAUGAGAGACUGGUUUUAGUGUGAUGACUGUAAAAUUCACUGGGUAACUACGUGUAUUAGUCAGAAAACCCUUUUCAAAGAGUAUUUGGUGAAAAUAUUGACAGCCAACACACUGCAGUUAUGUGCACUCCUUGUGUGUAAAUGUUUAUCAGAAAAGACUUAGCUUGGAUGGACUCAAGUGUUCAGUCUGUAUAUUUCACGUGACCUAUUUUUCAGACAUAAAAAAAAAGAUAGAUUUUAAGAGUUAUGCCUUUCUCCUUUGCAUUGUAGAUAUCAGCAGCAGUUUAUUGUGAUAUUUCACCAUGGAUCCUACAUAACCAGCAUGACUCCUGCUAAUAAUUCAGCAUUUUAAGGCCCUAUGCAAUCACUGUCAAGUCAAAGGUCUGGUUCAAACUGGAACUUCAAAUGUUGACAGAUGAUGAAGAGACAAACAUGAUGCUUAAGCCUUCGCACGCACCUCUUAAACUGUUUUGACAAUACAUUUUCAGCAUCUUCAUCUUGCACCUCAGUUUAUUCUGAUAGUCGCAGGUGAUUGCAUCCUUUGGGGGGAAGAAAUAUGUUAAUGAUAAUCUGCUCUUAGUAUCAUAAAGUGUUAUAUGUGCGUAUCGUUACUGUGUAAACAACACUUGACAUGUGCUGCGUCCAGCUCUGAAGGACUUCGUAUUCGGUGUCAUGUGGGGUGUGUUUACUGCGGCUUUCACUGCUCUUUCAAACACACUGUCACUGUCAUCCUUCACACUGAGUGACUUUAGUUGUCAGAUUGCACAACUGUUGUUUUCGAGACACGGCUACAGUCACUGCAGUACUAGUCGGUAAAUAAAAGUGACACGGUAUUUCUUUCCAUCACUGUGCUGGUGCUAGUAGCUUCAUUGCUGACUGUAGCAAGUAUCCCUUUACACACCCCCGUAUGCACCGCCACAAUGAGAGAGUCGGCAGCUCUUAUUUUGGCCGAUCUCUCCUGAAUUGUAAGUGCUGUCAGGGGCUUUGAUUGAUAGUUGUGUUUAUCACCAUAUUAUUAAGUAAUCAGGCUGGCCACAGCUGGGCCUGAAGCUCCUUAAUUCCAGCUGCAGCACACAGCUUUAUGGUAAUUAAAGGUUUGCCAAACGUGUUUAUUUUUGUGAAUUUUUUUAAGUAUAGUUGUCUUUGUUUUUAGGUGUGUAGAAUGUGCUGAUUGUUGCAUUUGUAUACCGUCUGGAACAUUUGGUACCAACCUUCAGUGUUGUACUGCCAUCUGAAAGAUCACGGGAAGUGACAUGGACGCUGGGGAGAAUUUCAAACUGCUUGGACUGAAGUUCAGGUGGGGUGUAAAUACCUUCCUUUCACCUCAUAGUAAUCUAUUGUUCUGCAUUGGUGUAAAACUUGCAAAACAGCUGUUUAUGUACCAACAAAACAUUCGCCAUGUAACACAGGAUAGUCAGUGAGUCUGUGUUCUCUGCGCAGUGGCAGAGAUUUCCUCUUGCUUCGUUAAUAGAGCCCACGGCGGGCUGUGUUUGUGUAUUUCUGGGGUAAACACAGUCAUGGCAAAGUGGACACGCUGCCGAGUGUGUCCUGACUGGAGACAGCGUGCACUGGGACACUGUACUUUUCAAGACACUAGAACCUCUCCGCAGCGAGGGUAAAUGUGAUGAAUGGCCCUUUAGUACUGGGUCAUGAGCCCGGUUGAAACAACAGAAGAAAACAGCAAAAAAACACAAAAACCCUCCAACAAAACAACAAAACGUGUGACUGAGAAACCAGUCAGGUGGCAGAUGUUUCUCGUAGCAUCAAACGACUCCGUCCUGCUUUCUCUGUCCGAGCCGGAUGACGGGAUGACUGCAUGUAGUCAAAUGAAAAUGUAAUUUUGUAAAAAAAAAAAAAAAAAAAGUCAAACAAUAAAGUCAAAACAAUAAAU
This is a long non-coding RNA of Cololabis saira (Pacific saury), 2921 nucleotides long. RefSeq lists it as uncharacterized. The transcript has 3 exons. Lineage: Eukaryota; Metazoa; Chordata; Actinopteri; Beloniformes; Belonidae. The record is from RefSeq and is a predicted model, not a curated record.